Non-coding RNA from Pogona vitticeps (central bearded dragon), 262 nucleotides. The record is from RefSeq and is a predicted model, not a curated record. NCBI's taxonomy places the organism in Eukaryota, Metazoa, Chordata, Lepidosauria, Squamata, Agamidae.
GAAAUUACUUAUAAAUGGAGCUUCCCGUUAAUCUGGAGAAUAGCAGUGUAUUGAUAUAUCAGCCAAAACUCCUGUCAUGGAUACUCUGCCUGUACUCCUGAAGGUCCGGAAGGAGGAGAUUCAGAGACGGCAAGCUUCUUAUGAGUGGAAGGUGUACGUUGAGGGUGUCCCUCACUGUCUGGAUGCUGACUCCAUCAAUGACCUGGAGAACAACGACAAGUUUUCCUUCACCAGAGCAGUCCUCUUUCUUGAACGCUCGAGU